Molecule: unclassified non-coding RNA, 354 nt
Filed under: fungal sp.
Lineage: Eukaryota; Fungi
Description: partial internal transcribed spacer region
Rfam family: Eukaryotic small subunit ribosomal RNA (bases 1-46)
Source: RNAcentral
AAGUCGUAACAAGGUUUCCGUAGGUGAACCUGCGGAAGGAUCAUUAUCACGUUUUAAUCCACGUAUCAACCACUGUGAACUAGUAUUUGACCUUUGAAUUGGGAAGGUAGUGUUGUUAUUAAACCGUUAUUCAAACAACAAAGAUUGGAAGUUGUUGAGGUUUAGUACAAUCAAACAGUUUUGUUUACUUUCUGAUUCAGAGUGUAUUUUUUCCAAUCAAUUAUUUUCAUUAACCAUUUAAACCAAAAUUUUUCUAAAUUUUGAACUGAUUUAAUUUCUUACUCUUUAAAUGGAGAAGAAAUAAAUGAUUACGAAACAUAAGAACAACUCUUAGCAACGGAUAUCUUGGUUCUC